RNAcentral lists this long non-coding RNA (663 nucleotides) under Bos taurus (domestic cattle). RNAcentral describes it as "long non-coding RNA NONBTAT018033". Lineage: Eukaryota; Metazoa; Chordata; Mammalia; Artiodactyla; Bovidae. The record is from RNAcentral.
GAUUUUUGUCUAGUGAGCCAUAUUGACUCUUUCUUGAGACCCAUGUAUCAGAGACGUUCUAAAACGACCCUCUUAAAAAGUUCAAAAAAGAACUUUUCUUAGUAUUUUUAGGGUGGAAGAAAUAAGAUUGUACUGCUGGGAGAAGGCAUCUGCCUCCCCUUCUCCAGAUAUUUGAGGAGCCUGAAUUUGGUUCUUGACCCUUUCUCCUCAAGUUCUGCCCUUUUUCACUAGCAGUCACACCCACUGUGGUGGCUUAAACUCUAUCAUACACCCAGUUCUCAAACCUGUUCCUUCCACCCCAACCUCUUUUGAGCUUUUAUAUCUGUAUUUCCACACAUUGCACAUUACCACCUGAAUGACACACACUCUUUGAACUUACUUAUCUAAAAUAAAACCCAUUUCUCCAUACAUUCUCCUCUUUGACUCCCCACGUUACUGAAAUUACUGCCCAGCAAUCUGAGCUAGAACCUCAAUUCUCCUUGAGAUCCUUCAAUUCCUCUUUGCCAUCAUCUAAUCAAUCACUUACUGUUGAGUUUACCCCUAUAUAAACUUCCUAAUCUGUUUUGUCCAUAUCUACUGAAUUGGUUCAUUCCUUUAGCCUCUCAGGGCUGGACCACUGCAACAGCUUCCUAAUUAUCUCUACCUUCAUUCUUCACAUCUUCA